CUGGCAACUCUUCCUGUGGCCCGACCCUCUGUGGGUUCUCCACCAAAGCGCACUGCUGUAACAAGGCCACGAGCUGUCUGUAGGCUUUUAGCAAGCUGCUUCCACAGAGGCCGCCAGCGUGGAAGAACUCUCUGCACAGCCGAACUCCGCAGGGCACAGCCAGGAAGAGGGCAGGCUCUCGUGUGCCUGCAAGGCCUGAAAUGAUCCCAGGCAACCACCACUCUUAAGAAGUCAGAGCUGUGCAAGUCUAUUUCACCAGAUUCUCCAAGGGUCCUGGGACCCCCUAACGGGAAAGAGGCAUGUCAGUGAAGGAGAUAUCCCUACACAGCCACAGGAAAAAAAAUGGAUGAGAGUCCCAACAAGGAAUGCUUAUAGAAUAAUACAAACCACCAACAGCGAAGGCAGUGGCUGCACCCCAGCCAGGGAACUGGCUGCUUCCUACUCACUGUCAAGGCCAGCAGUGGCCUUGCCUUGCGGUGAGAUGAUUGCAGAGACAGGGAGCCGACCCAACUCUUGCCAAGUCCACAGCUGGGACACAGGGCACACAAAACGCCAUCAGGAUUCAUCCUCUGGGCUCCUCCAGCUCAUCCCACAGCCUAUGAACCCUGAAGCCGAGGUCUGCCUUUCUAACAUCCUUCCUCCAAACCAGGGGGCAGGGGACUGCUGCCUGUGAGGACCGGCUGUGACACAAAAGACAGAGCAGAGCAGCUCUGCUCCAGAUCGCUUUGUGAGGUAAGUGGAGGGCAGACAGGUAGCAGUGAGAGCCCUUGCAGCAUUGGUAGCAUAGUCCUGCCAGGGCCCACCCUGAAUACAGAACCCCCAGCUCCAGCCACACACUCUGUGAGGGUCAGGGCUUGGUACCCCCCAAAAGAAGUGUUUACUGAGGACCCUCACCUCACCUUCACUGCAAACCUCCCAGAAGCACUGAGAUGUCCGUCGGUGAGUGAUCAGGCCUG
Long non-coding RNA from Meriones unguiculatus (Mongolian gerbil), 956 nucleotides. RefSeq lists it as uncharacterized. The record is from RefSeq and is a predicted model, not a curated record. NCBI's taxonomy places the organism in Eukaryota, Metazoa, Chordata, Mammalia, Rodentia, Muridae. The transcript has 4 exons.